This 38-nucleotide transfer RNA is filed under the name Vernonia gigantea. Its description in RNAcentral is "partial tRNA-His". The record is from RNAcentral. Lineage: Eukaryota; Viridiplantae; Streptophyta; Magnoliopsida; Asterales; Asteraceae.
GGCGGAUGUAGCCAAGUGGAUUAAGGCAGUGGAUUUGU